Molecule: RNA transcript, 2844 nt
Organism: Nicotiana tabacum (common tobacco)
Lineage: Eukaryota; Viridiplantae; Streptophyta; Magnoliopsida; Solanales; Solanaceae
Gene name: putative F-box/FBD/LRR-repeat protein At1g78760
Source: RefSeq, a predicted model, not a curated record
GAUUGAACGGGGAAUAAAUAAAGCCAAUUGAAAUAAAGGGUUUUACGUCCACGAGGUUCACUAAUGUUGAUCUCUUCCGAUUACAACAUGCCCUUUAUAUUCCUCUGGUUCUUUCCCAAAGUUAAUACUAUGAUGCUUUAAAUUUCUUUUCAUUUCCGCUAGUCAUUUCUCAUCGUUCCAAAAAUGCCACGAAGAAGAAAGUUUCUGUGGAAAACUCCAAAAUAUCCAAAUAGCCAUGAAAUUGCAAUUACAGAGACCACAGUAGGAGGACAUGAUAUAGCCUGUGUCGAUAGAAUUUCCAAUUUGCCAGUCAAAAUAAUCCGUGAAAUUUUUUUCCGGGUUCACCCGAAAGAUGCAGCCAGAGCUAGUGUUUGGUCCAAGAGAUGGCUAAGACUUUGGGCUUCCCUCUCAGAUAUUUAUUUAGAGAACGGUGAAAUUGGCAUGCUCUUUCUUCGAAUAACAGUUGAUAAAAACUCUUCUUGUGAAUUGCUGGUCAAAAAAUGGAUAAAUUUUGCCAUAGAAAACAAGGUUAAAGCGUUACAUCUUGCUAUAGAAGCGCUUACUUAUGAGGAGCCUUUCCACCUUUUCUCUUUAUCUGGUGUUACUUUUUUAUCUGCUACAUUAGUUGUUUUAAGUAUCAAAGAUUGUGAGAUUAGUUCAGACUCUAAUUUUAUGGUUCCUAAUCUAAGAUCACUCUUUCUAUAUGAUGUCUCGCCGGUGGGGUGAUGAUUUUGUAUUCGCAGAUUUCAUAGCCGGGUUCCCUCGAAUCGAGGAAUUAGUCAUAGAGCCUUAUCCAGAAUACUUGGGCACAAUAGUAGUUCCAAAUCCUACCUUAAAAUUUUUGAAGGUGGAAUACACUGCGUGUGAAUCCAAAUUACAAGUAAAGUCUAAAAAGCUGGAGUCUAUUGUAUUUUCAUAUUUAAGGCUUGAAGUGGAUAAGUACGAAUUCGAGAUGGCUUCUCCUACUACGGUCAAGAAUUUGACAUUGGAAAGGGUUUAUGCCCUAGAAAAGACAUUGAGUCCUUUUAUAAACAGAUUCCCUCAACUUGAGAACCUUGUGAUAGAUGGUUGUCGCCGUGAUGUUUUUUCUGGAGUUGAUAUGCUCCGCGAGCAUUUUGAAUUCCUUUUUGUUUCUCCAGCAUCUGGCGAAGUUUGUGCUGAAGUUAGAAAAAUUUGAUAGAGUUGACGAGAUAAUAUUACAGGCUCCUAACUUAAAAUCCUUGGGAGUACUAUGGUGGUCUUACUUCUUUUCGUGGAAUUAAAGCUUGUAAUGGGUUGGAAUUUGUUAAAUUCCAUUUAAGACUCAAAAUGCUUAAUGCUCGCUGGUAUAUUUGGUUAAGAAAUAUUUUGGAGUCUUUUGCUCAUUCCAAGCACUUGAGUUUGAUUUGCGAGAAUGAACAGGUAAACCCUUAAUUUCGUCUUUUUUUGUUUGCAAUGGAUCCGGUAAUGUACAACUUUUUUUACCCAACAUGUUUACCCAAAUCAGUAGAUAUAUAGUUUUUUUUGGCAAAUUAUAGCAUUUAAUCAUGGUUAUUUGAUAUGCAUUCUUUUCUCAUUAAACUAAUUAACGGACAUGGGUUGCUCUAGAUAGAUUGAGUACGUAUGUAUUUUUACUAUGUUGCGAACAAUACUACAUUUUUGUAAGUGUCUUUGGACAUGACCAUGGAUACGAUGACCAUGGAUAGGAUGGUGUGGAGGUUGAGAAUUAGGAUAGAGGAUUAGUAGUCGAGCUUUGUCUUUGUUUUGUUACAAUAGCUUUAGUACACCAUGUCUUUACGUGUUUUCGCCUUUCUGGACUUCUAUUAUUACUUGUUGUUUUUGCUUUGGUUUUAAUUGUACUAACUAGUGCUAGUUGUGUGUUUUUCGCUUGAUUUUACGAUUGGUUUGCUUGUCAUUGACCCUUUCCUUUAUCUUCCUUGAGCCGAGGGUCUACUGAAAACAACAUCUCUGCCUUUUUAAAGGAUAUCAUCUUUCCUGAUGAGCUAACUGAGACAUUACUUCCACCAAUCCAUGAUAUCAAGAAUCUGGAAUUGCAAAUUUAUUCAUCUACUGCAACUUCUCAAAAAAUUCUAGAUGGCUUUAUUUGGAUUCUUCCAGGUUUGAGAACUUUGUCAUUGACUUUCGGGUCCAUUGCAAAAAUCAUUGAGGUACUCAUAAACUCCAUUUGUUUUUUUCACUUACUUUUUUUCCCAUUUUUCUGGUUAAUCUUAGUUUGCUCGUCAUUUUUGGGCACAUUGAAUUAACCUUCAAAACUAACAUUGCUGCACCACAUGCAAAGAUUUGUUAAAAUACAAUGACUGGGUUGGAAUUACGUUUUGCUGCUCUUCUAUUAUUACUUACUCUCUAUGUAUUGUGCUUGACAAACUUCAUGUGUUUAUUAUUGCAAAAUACAGUUUCAGAGAGAGGAUGAUGUGGAGGUGAUUUUAGCCAGAGCAUUAGCCAGAGUAAAAAUUGGAUCGCAAGCAAAAACUAACAAACGAUGAUUAGAGAGAAUGUUUUUUUUAUAUUUUGAGAACUUUUUCGUGUUUUAAGCUCUGCUUUUGGAAGUAGAAGCACCAGGAAAAUUUUGUUCUCCGUUUAAAGACAUAGCUAAGCUGUAAGGCUUUGCUUGAUCAAUCACACUAUGCAAAAAUAUGCAGUUGCCAGUUGUUAAAUGUGCAUGUUGGAACUGUUGAGUUGUAUAGACUAUACUAUGAUGCACUUGUAACUAGUUGAGGGGCUAAAGUGUAAAUAGGAAAUAUGGAGUUAAUUGGAGUCGGUUAGAGUGUAGUGAUGUAGUCUAUGAGUGGGACCACUCACGUGUAAUACACUUACCGAAAAUAUAAGGCAUAAUAAUUUAAAUGA